Molecule: long non-coding RNA, 542 nt
Filed under: Salmo salar (Atlantic salmon)
Lineage: Eukaryota; Metazoa; Chordata; Actinopteri; Salmoniformes; Salmonidae
Description: lncRNA (ENSSSAG00000102174.1)
Source: RNAcentral
CUAUCUUUUACAAAGGAUCUCUGCUCUAACGUGACACUUCCUACGUCGUCCAUGGGCGCUCAGAGCCCGGGAAAAACCUGAAUGUCGUCAUCCCAGCCCCAGGCUGAAACACAUUAUCGCCUUUCUCAAGUGGCCGAUCAAGGGACUGUGGGCUUAGGCGCGUGACCUGGCCUCCCCGUCUUUGUGAUUUUUUCCUCUGUUUGCCGAAAAGGAGAUUCCCGGGUCGGAAUAUUAUCGCUUUUCUACGAGAAAAAUGGCAUAAAAAUUGAUUUUAAACAGCGGUUGACAUGCUUCGAAGUACGGUAAUGGAAUAUUUAGAAUUUUUUUGUCACGAAUUGCGCCAUGCGCACGACCCUUAUUUACCAUUUCGGAUAGUGUCUGGGACGCACGAACAAAACGGCGCUAUUCGGAUAUAACGAUGGAUUAUUUUGGACCAAACCAACAUUUGUUAUUGAAGUGGCAGUCCUGGGAGUGCAUUCUGACGAAGACAACAAAAGACCAUUUCCGGAGACCUUCUCCCCUACCUCACCUCGCUCAUCAAC